UCGAGGAUCUUCCGCAAUGGGCGCAAGCCUGACGGAGCGACGCCGCGUGUGGGAUGAAGGCCUUCGGGUUGUAAACCACUGUAACCUGUUAUGAAAACGGCCGGUGUUAACAGCAUCGGUUGUCGACAAAGGCAGGAGAGUAAGCCACGACUAACUUCGUGCCAGCAGCCGCGGUAAGACGAAGGUGGCGAGCGUUGUUCGGAAUCACUGGGCAUAAAGCGCACGUAGGCGGUGGCGUAAGUCGGGUGUGAAAUCCCUCGGCCUAACCGAGGAACUGCGCCCGAUACUGCGUUGCUUGAGGACCAAAGGGGUGCAUGGAAUUUCCGGUGGAGCGGUGAAAUGCGUUGAUAUCGGAAGGAACGUCGGCGGCGAAAGCGGUGCACUGGUUGGUCUCUGACGCUGAGGUGCGAAAGCCAGGGGAGCAAACGGGGAUUAGAUACCCUAGUAGUCCCUGAGCGGGCUGGCAAGGCG
This 471-nucleotide ribosomal RNA is filed under the name uncultured bacterium. RNAcentral's name for it is "bacterial SSU rRNA". It matches the Rfam family "Bacterial small subunit ribosomal RNA", at positions 355 to 822 of the family's 1533-position model. The record is from RNAcentral.